GGGCUAGCCUCAGGAUAGUUUAGCGGAGGUAAAGCACUGAAUGGGCUAGGGGGCUUCACGGCUUACCGAACCCUAUCAAACUCUGAAUGCCGCAUAAAUGUUUCCUGGGAGUCAGACUGCGUGAGAUAAGUUUCGUAGUCAAAAGGGAAAGAGCCCAGACCUACAGCUAAGGUCCCUAAAUGAAUUUAAGUGGAAAAGGAUGUGCAGUUGCGUAGACAACUAGGACGUUGGCUUAGAAGCAGCCACUCAUUUAAAGAGUGCGUAAUAGCUCACUAGUCGAGUGAUUGUGCGCCGAAAAUGUAACGGGGCUAAAAUUCAUACCGAAGCUUAGGAAUGAUAGUAAUAUUGUUGGUAGAUGAGCGUUGUGUAAGUCUGCGAAGCUACACCGAAAGGAGUAGUGGAGAUAUCACAAGUGAGAAUGCCGGAAUGAGUAGCGAGAAUUAUGUGAGAAUCAUAAUGGUCGAAAAUCUAAGGUUUCUUGAGGAAGGUUCGUCCGCUCAAGGUAAGCCGGGAGCUAAGGCGAGGCCGAGAGGCGUAGUCGAUGCACAUACGGUAAAGAUUCCGUAGCCACCGAAGUCGUUAAAUACAGGGACACAGGAACAUAGCCUAACCCCACCGUUGGUUGAGUGGGGCGUAAGGGAGCGAAAAUUAGUAGCGAAGUAGGUGAUUGUACACUGGCGAGAAAAGCUGUAUGAAUUGACAAGGUGCCCGUACCGCAAACCGACACAGGUAGAUGAGGAGAGAAUCCUAAGACCAGCGGGAGAAGUGUUGUUAAGGAACUCGGCAAAAUGACCCCGUAACUUCGGGAUAAGGGGAGCCUACGCGAGUAGGCCGCAGAGAAUAGUCUCAAGCGACUGUUUAGCAAAAACACAGGUCUAUGCUAAAUCGAAAGAUGAUGUAUAUGGGCUGACGCCUGCCCGGUGCUGGAAGGUUAAGGGGAAGUGUUAGAGCAAUCGAAGCACUGAACUUAAGCCCCAGUAAACGGCGGCCGUAACUAUAACGGUCCUAAGGUAGCGAAAUUCCUUGUCAGGUAAGUUCUGACCCGCACGAAUGGCGUAACGACUUGAGAGCUGUCUCAACAACAUACCCGGCGAAAUUGAAGUACUGGUAAAGAUGCCAGUUACCCGUGAUAAGACGGAAAGACCCCAUGGAGCUUUACUGUAACUUGAUAUUGAAUUUUUGUAUUACAUGUACAGGAUAGGUGGGAGACAGAGAACUAAUGCCGCCAGGUGUUAGGGAGUCGAUGUUGGGAUACCACUCUUGUAAUAUGAAGGUUCUAACCUGCACCCGUGAAUCCGGGUGGGGGACACUGUCAGGUGGACAGUUUGACUGGGGCGGUCGCCUCCUAAAAGGUAACGGAGGCGUUCAAAGGUUGGUUCAGCACGGACGGAAAUCGUGCAACGAGUGCAAACGCAUAAACCAGCCUAACUGCGAGACCGACAAGUCGAGCAGUAACGAAAGUUGGAGUUAGUGAUCCGGCGGUAUGAGAGUGGAAUUGCCGUCGCUCAACGGAUAAAAGCUACCCUGGGGAUAACAGGCUGAUCUCCCCCAAGAGUUCACAUCGACGGGGAGGUUUGGCACCUCGAUGUCGGCUCAUCGCAUCCUGGAGCUGAAGUCGGUUCCAAGGGUUGGGCUGUUCGCCCAUUAAAGCGGUACGCGAGCUGGGUUCAGAACGUCGCGAGACAGUUCGGUCCCUAUCUAUCACGGGCGUAGGAAAUUUGAGGAGAGCUGACCUUAGUACGAGAGGACCGGGUUGGACGUACCGCUGGUGCACCUGUUGUUCUGCCAAGGGCAUAGCAGGGUAGCUAAGUACGGACGGGAUAAACGCUGAAGGCAUCUAAGCGUGAAGCCCCCUUCGAGAUAAGAUUUCCCAUAGCGUAGGCUAGU
RNAcentral lists this ribosomal RNA (1887 nucleotides) under human gut metagenome. RNAcentral describes it as "bacterial LSU rRNA". It matches the Rfam family "Bacterial large subunit ribosomal RNA", at positions 873 to 2829 of the family's 2925-position model. The record is from RNAcentral.